Salvia hispanica is the source of this 862-nucleotide non-coding RNA. The record is from RefSeq and is a predicted model, not a curated record. Lineage: Eukaryota; Viridiplantae; Streptophyta; Magnoliopsida; Lamiales; Lamiaceae.
AUAAUUCAUCGGUUCCACUUAAGAAGUUUACUUUGGACCAUUGUGGGUCGAGAUCGAUCGGUGCCAAGAGAAGCCAAUCGACUGUUGCGGUAAAAGAGUAUGCCAAUAUCGGAGACACACCAACACACUAAGGCUUCACAAGUUCUUGAGGGGACUAAAUCCCCAAUUUGAAGGAAUCAGACGGGAUAUUCUGAAAGAAAGUCCGGUGCCCUCAGUCGACGUCGCAUACGGGUGGGUGAAGCGGGAAGCCACACGGCUCAAGAUUAUGCCGCUGGCGAACUCCAACUCAACCGGCGCAAUGAACGGGGAUCCAUCAUCGGGCGGAGUAGGUUUCGGAUUCGGUUGGUCGGUUUUCCGGAGUGGUGGGAUGAGAACCAGAAGGCGAAGGCCAAAUUGGCCAUCGGAGUUGAAGAAGGCAGCGGUGGAAAUCACCACACACCGACUGGAGCCGGCAACCGCGAGGGAGCCAACGCUAGGGGAAGGAACGGCGACGGUGGCAGACGAGGUGAGGAGAUCAGAGAAGCUGCUUUCGCAAGGAUGGCGUGAGAUCCGUUGAGAAUGGAGGAUAUCAGGACGAGGAGGAUAAUUGGAUGUGGCACUGAGCGUCAAGGCCUCUACUAUGUUGACGAGAUGGCUCACCAAGGAAGUACCGCGAUGCUAGGUCACGGAUCUGCAUCUCGAGAAGCUUGGUUGUGGCAUCGACGAUAUGGUCACCCGUGACCUGGUUAUUUUAAAUUGCUUUUUCCCAAGUUUUCUCAUCUUAAGAACAUUGAUUGUGAGUCUUGUGUUUUCGUGAAAAGCCACGGACAGUCAUUUAAAUCUACUGAAACCCCUGGGUUAAAACUCUUUUUUCUUUGAUUCA